AGCUUUGUGCAGUGGUGGUAUCGUAGCCAAUGAAGUUUAUCAGAGGUGCGAUUAUUACUAAUUAAAAUAGCACAUUGCAACUUAGCUGUGUGGAGCCUCCUAAGAAUCCAAGUAAGAUAAUUCUUAU
Molecule: small nuclear RNA, 127 nt
Filed under: Chinchilla lanigera (long-tailed chinchilla)
Lineage: Eukaryota; Metazoa; Chordata; Mammalia; Rodentia; Chinchillidae
Description: U4 spliceosomal RNA (ENSCLAG00000020979.1)
Rfam family: U4 spliceosomal RNA
About the family: U4 small nuclear RNA (U4 snRNA) is a component of the major U2-dependent spliceosome. The structure of U4 snRNA from yeast and human has been reported.
Source: RNAcentral